Molecule: ribosomal RNA, 253 nt
Filed under: uncultured bacterium
Lineage: Bacteria
Description: partial 16S ribosomal RNA
Rfam family: Bacterial small subunit ribosomal RNA
Source: RNAcentral
UACGAACUGUGCGAACGUUAUUCGGAAUCACUGGGCUUACAGGGUGCGUAGGCGGCUCAACAAGUCAGGUGUGAAAGCCCCCGGCUCAACCGGGGAACUGCGCUUGAAACUGUUGGGCUCGAGUCAGCUAGAGGUACACGGAACUUCCAGUGGAGCGGUGAAAUGUGUUGAUAUUGGAAGGAACACCGGAGGCGAAAGCGGUGUACUGGGGCUGGUCUGACGCUGAGGCACGAAAGCCAGGGGAGCGAACGGG